UGCGCAGGCGGAAGAUUAAGUCAGUGGUGAAAUCCUACAGCUCAACUGUAGAACUGUCAUUGAUACUGAUUUUCUUGAAUAUAGUUGAGGUAGGCGGAAUGUGUAAUGUAGCGGUGAAAUGCUUAGAUAUUACACAGAACACCGAUUGCGAAGGCAGCUUACUAAGCUAUUAUUGACGCUGAGGCACGAAAGCGUGGGGAGCGAACAGGAUUAGAUACCCUGGUAGUCC
This 229-nucleotide ribosomal RNA is filed under the name uncultured bacterium. RNAcentral describes it as "partial 16S ribosomal RNA". It matches the Rfam family "Bacterial small subunit ribosomal RNA", at positions 568 to 796 of the family's 1533-position model. The record is from RNAcentral.